This is a long non-coding RNA of Mercenaria mercenaria, 2107 nucleotides long. RefSeq lists it as uncharacterized. The transcript has 5 exons. The record is from RefSeq and is a predicted model, not a curated record. NCBI's taxonomy places the organism in Eukaryota, Metazoa, Mollusca, Bivalvia, Venerida, Veneridae.
UGCGAAAGUACAUGUAGGGACCGAAAUAUCAUUCGCACUAGUAUUAUACAUGCCAGAAAACAGCAAAUUUUAAACAGAGGGUGUUGCUGAAGACCUCAAACCAGGCCACGUCACAUAGCAGUUUUAAGCGUUUGUUAAGCCGCACGAGCUUUACGUGAGAUGUCGCUCACAAGUCAAGGUUGGACAUUAGUUCGACGGGUGGAUAACAUGACUGACUGAAAAAAAUGCUAAAACGAUUAGAAAAUGAUGCAGAAGAAAAGCCGACGACGGCCCGAUAGUAGCAUGUUUCACGACAGCAGAUGGCGUCACCGGUUUUAACCAGUAUCAAGUAAACGCCAGAUCGAGUUAGGAAAGGACUAACAACACGUACCAGUUCCCACUGAAUGGUGUAUUAGAACGGCGGGGCCUGAUCCAACCGAAGACAGUACGUCGAUCUACGCCUUCAAACUUUGAUUGAUGAAAGGUCUAGUGACGAUUAAAUACUCGCACGUGCCGAGGAGAGCAUGUCAUUUUCUGGAUCAGAAACGACUGAAACAAGGUCUUUACAGACAUCCUUGGGAUGGUAUCUCGUACGUAAUGCCAGAGAAUUUUGGCGGGGAACAAGAUCAGCAGUAGAAUUCACAGCAGGACCAACAGUAGUGCUUGUUGGUAUCUUAGGCUGUUAUUAGCAAUAUACAUGACUUCCAUGAACAUUUCUGUAGGAUAUAGAGUUUUAGGCCUAUAUUUAAUGGUGAAUGUUUUAAGGUGUUGACAAUUUAAAGCAAACCUGACCCGCAAUACUAGAAACAUAAUUUAUUUAGCACCUUGUUGCCAUAAAGUAGAGAAUAGUCCAUUAAUAUUGUGGUAAUACAUGUUUUAUUAAACAACAUACCCUGCAGGUUAUCUGAGAUUUUAGCUUGUAGGAGUGAAAUUUCUAUGCAGCAUUGAUUUUGAUGUGAUUUAGGACUGGCCAUGACUUGCACUGGUGUUCAACUAACAUACCUUGUAUGUUUUGAUUGUUUCAACUUGUAUUUUGUUAAACCAAAUGUUAAAUAAAGAAAUAUUCCACUUAAGUAGGCCACAUUUUACUUCUGUUAGUCAUCACAUGUAGUUGCUCUCGCAUAACCUGCAAGGUAUUUGUCAAUAUGAGGUUUAUCUGAAAUGUUUCUGUGUUUAUUUUGUCAUAGGAAAUCAAUGCUGGUUAAAGGGGAGUUGCUGUAGUUAUAAAUGUUCGUUUAGAUAUCACACAUAUCUUUAUAUAACAGAUGCAAUAGGUUUUUGGUGUUACUGGCAUAAUUUUUUACAUACAUUUUUCAUAAGUCUGAUCAUGUCAGAUUAUAUAAGAUUGGUGCAAUUUUUAAGAGUUAAAAACAAUGGAUUUACAGCCAUCAAUGUUUUGUUUAACCGGAAUGAAAUUCUGAAGGUUCAUAUUCUUUAAACACAAUGGUGUAUUUUAUAUCUAAUGUAAAUUAAUUAUGUCUCUCAACACACAGUGGUGUGGGAGACAUAUUGAUUUACACCAGUCUGUGUGCGUGUGUGUCUGUGUGUCUAUCACAAAGCUUGUCCGCACUUUAAGUCGAACAUUUCUCAUCCAAUUUUCACCAAACUUGAACAAAAUGUGUUUGACCAUAAGACCUCAGCCAGGUUUGAUAACUAGCCAAAUCGGUCCAGGUGUCUUGGAGUUAUGGCCCUUGAAUUACCAAAAAUCGGUCUUUUUACUCUUGUCCGCACUCUAAUUCGAAUAUUUCUCAUCCAAUCUUCACCAAACUUAAAUAAAAUGUGCUUGACCAUGAGACCUCGGCCAAGUUCGAUAACUAGCCAAAUCGGUCCAUGCAUUUUGGAGCUACAGCCCUUGAAUUAUCGAAAAAUUGUCCUUUUUACUCAUGUCCGCACUCUUAAUCAAACAUUUCUCAUCCGAUCUUCACCAAACUUGAACAAAAUGUGUUUGACCAUGAGACCUCGGCCAAGUUCGGUAACUAGCCAAAUCGGUCCAGGCAUUUUAGAGUUACGGCCCUUAAAUUACCGAAAAAAUCCAUCUGUUUACUCUUGUCCGCUCUCUAAGUCGAACAUUUCUCAUCCGAUCUUCACCAAACUUGAACAAAAUGUGUUUGGCCAUAAGACCUUACCC